GCUUGCUGCUUCGCUGACGAGUGGCGGACGGGUGAGUAAUGUCUGGGAAACUGCCUGAUGGAGGGGGAUAACUACUGGAAACGGUGGCUAAUACCGCAUAACGUCGCAAGACCAAAGAGGGGGACCUUCGGGCCUCUUGCCAUCAGAUGUGCCCAGAUGGGAUUAGCUUGUUGGUGAGGUAACGGCUCACCAAGGCGACGAUCCCUAGCUGGUCUGAGAGGAUGACCAGCCACACUGGAACUGAGACACGGUCCAGACUCCUACGGGAGGCAGCAGUGGGGAAUAUUGCACAAUGGGCGCAAGCCUGAUGCAGCCAUGCCGCGUGUAUGAAGAAGGCCUUCGGGUUGUAAAGUACUUUCAGCGGGGAGGAAGGUGUUGUGGUUAAUAACCGCAGCAAUUGACGUUACCCGCAGAAGAAGCACCGGCUAACUCCGUGCCAGCAGCCGCGGUAAUACGGAGGGUGCAAGCGUUAAUCGGAAUUACUGGGCGUAAAGCGCACGCAGGCGGUCUGUCAAGUCGGAUGUGAAAUCCCCGGGCUCAACCUGGGAACUGCAUUCGAAACUGGCAGGCUUGAGUCUUGUAGAGGGGGG
RNAcentral lists this ribosomal RNA (590 nucleotides) under Salmonella enterica. Its description in RNAcentral is "bacterial SSU rRNA". It matches the Rfam family "Bacterial small subunit ribosomal RNA", at positions 78 to 661 of the family's 1533-position model. The record is from RNAcentral. Lineage: Bacteria; Pseudomonadati; Pseudomonadota; Gammaproteobacteria; Enterobacterales; Enterobacteriaceae.